CGUGCUGUGACGAGACCUCGGAAGGCUUUACGGGAAGGCUGCCGGCCGACCCGGCGGCCAGUGUUCCCUCGUUGGUACCUGGGACCUUCGGUGUCGCUACGGGCAUAACGCCGCUCACAUCAUGGCUUGGGUCCCUACUGCGCCACAGCGUCUCGUGAGACGUGGGUCCUCAGAGCCUCUUUAGUGCUGGAGCUCGGGCGGGGGCGGAAGAACAGAACCUCUGAAAUGGAUGGACUCUUCCCAAGCAGAUUUGCUCAUUUGCAGCAGCUGGACAAUGUUCCUCAUUAAUACCUGUCUGUCAGCAUAAUCGUCACAUCAUCUCACUCGGGUGGCAGGGACUCAGCUCCGAAUUCUAUAUAGAAAAAGCAUCUGGAUCCCAGUCUUUCAAUGGCUUCGAGACAACCAGAAGUGCCUGGUAAACUUAAUUCUUUUUGAUAAAG
Molecule: non-coding RNA, 440 nt
Organism: Leptonychotes weddellii (Weddell seal)
Lineage: Eukaryota; Metazoa; Chordata; Mammalia; Carnivora; Phocidae
Source: RefSeq, a predicted model, not a curated record